AGAUUGAACGCUGGCGGCAUGCCUUACACAUGCAAGUCGAACGGCAGCGCGGGAGCAAUCCUGGUGGCGAGUGGCGAACGGGUGAGUAAUAUAUCGGAACGUGCCCAGUCGUGGGGGAUAACGUAGAGAAAUUUACGCUAAUACCGCAUACGAUCCAAGGAUGAAAGCGGGGGACCGUAAGGCCUCGCGCGACUGGAGCGGCUGAUAUCAGAUUAGCUUGUUGGUGAGGUAAAAGCUCACCAAGGCGACGAUCUGUAGCUGGUUUGAGAGAACGACCAGCCACACUGGGACUGAGACACGGCCCAGACUCCUACGGGAGGCAGCAGUGGGGAAUUUUGGACAAAUGGGCGAAAGCCUGAUCCAGCAAUGCCGCGUGCAGGAAGAAGGCCUGGUGUAA
RNAcentral lists this ribosomal RNA (397 nucleotides) under uncultured soil bacterium. RNAcentral describes it as "bacterial SSU rRNA". It matches the Rfam family "Bacterial small subunit ribosomal RNA", at positions 26 to 428 of the family's 1533-position model. The record is from RNAcentral.